Molecule: ribosomal RNA, 495 nt
Filed under: uncultured bacterium
Lineage: Bacteria
Description: partial 16S ribosomal RNA
Rfam family: Bacterial small subunit ribosomal RNA
Source: RNAcentral
GACGAACGCUGGCGGCGUGCCUAAUACAUGCAAGUAGAACGCUGAAGGAGGAGCUUGCUUCUCUGGAUGAGUUGCGAACGGGUGAGUAACGCGUAGGUAACCUGCCUGGUAGCGGGGGAUAACUAUUGGAAACGAUAGCUAAUACCGCAUAAGAGUAGAUGUUGCAUGACAUUUGCUUAAAAGGUGCAAUUGCAUCACUACCAGAUGGACCUGCGUUGUAUUAGCUAGUUGGUGGGGUAACGGCUUACCAAGGCGACGAUACAUAGCCGACCUGAGAGGGGGAUCGGCCACACUGGGACUGAGACACGGCCCAGACUCCUACGGGAGGCAGCAGUAGGGAAUCUUCGGCAAUGGACGGAAGUCUGACCGAGCAACGCCGCGGGAGUGAAGAAGGGUGUCGGAUCGUAAAGCUCUGUUGUAAGAGAAGAACGAGUGUGAGAGUGGAAAGUUCACAAUGUGACGGUAGCUUACCAGAAAGGGACGGCUAACUACGUG